This 546-nucleotide long non-coding RNA is filed under the name Zea mays. RNAcentral's name for it is "drought-responsive long non-coding RNA". The record is from RNAcentral. Lineage: Eukaryota; Viridiplantae; Streptophyta; Magnoliopsida; Poales; Poaceae.
UGAACUAUUUACCUGCAAACCUACUGUGACGUGUCAUAAAAGAAAUAAAAUCUAACCACGUUGACUACUUACAUGCAAAUCUACAAAAAAAAUCAAACCCUGCAGGAUCUCUGAUGUGAUGCCAUGCCAUGCCACCAAUGUGGGUAGGCUGGCUGAAAGACGGACCAGCAGAAGAGGUUGACUUGGAAUUUAUUGAGCAUGUGCCGCCGCCCACGUGGUUUCAUUUCAUCAGCAUGGUUUGUGGUUCCGGGCUUGGCACCGUAAAGAAGAAAAAAAAAGGAGUUUGGUGAAAUCACUGCCCCAGGAAAACCUUCCAGGCGCAAAAAUCCUCCAUGUUGACCGACCAGCCGUUUAUUUGGGCUUAUUCACCACUCGUGGUCAAGACUCAAUAGGAAGGAGGGCAUAUGUGUCUUCAGAAUAAUUCCUGGACCACCGGUAGACCGAUAAAGGCCCUGUACUGACCGUGCUCUCACCAUGGUGGUAGCUCAUGAGCACCAAUCUGUCAUUUGUUCUAUCAACUCUGGGCAAUGAUUGAUUGGUUGGUUU